RNAcentral lists this long non-coding RNA (253 nucleotides) under Lathyrus oleraceus (garden pea). RNAcentral's name for it is "Pisum sativum (pea) long non-coding RNA (PSAT_LNC037483)". The record is from RNAcentral. Lineage: Eukaryota; Viridiplantae; Streptophyta; Magnoliopsida; Fabales; Fabaceae.
UCAUGGCAAGCGCCAUGAUAAACGCUAUGGUGAACGUCAUGAGUGCAAAAUUAGCCAUUUUCUCUGUUCUUUGCCAUUUUUGUCCCGAUUUCUCGCACGGAUACUCCUACUUGGUAAAUACCCGAAAUAGACACAAUAUACUAGCAUAAAAUCAUAAAAUGAAAAUAAAACGGACUAAAAUGACAUGUGUAAUGAGUUAGAAAUGUGAUACAUUUCAUGGUUAUCAACUACCACACCUUACGCUACCACAAUU